This 1337-nucleotide ribosomal RNA is filed under the name uncultured bacterium. RNAcentral's name for it is "16S ribosomal RNA". It matches the Rfam family "Bacterial small subunit ribosomal RNA", at positions 28 to 1386 of the family's 1533-position model. The record is from RNAcentral.
GACGAACUCUGGCGGCGCGCCUAACACAUGCAAGUCGAACGAGCGAGAGAGAGCUUGCUUUCUCGAGCGAGUGGCGAACGGGUGAGUAACGCGUGAGGAACCUGCCUCAAAGAGGGGGACAACAGUUGGAAACGACUGCUAAUACCGCAUAAGCCCACGGCUCGGCAUCGAGCAGAGGGAAAAGGAGCAAUCCGCUUUGAGAUGGCCUCGCGUCCGAUUAGCUAGUUGGUGAGGUAAUGGCCCACCAAGGCGACGAUCGGUAGCCGGACUGAGAGGUUGAACGGCCACAUUGGGACUGAGACACGGCCCAGACUCCUACGGGAGGCAGCAGUGGGGAAUAUUGCACAAUGGGGGAAACCCUGAUGCAGCGACGCCGCGUGGAGGAAGAAGGUCUUCGGAUUGUAAACUCCUGUUGUUGGGGAAGAUAAUGACGGUACCCAACAAGGAAGUGACGGCUAACUACGUGCCAGCAGCCGCGGUAAAACGUAGGUCACAAGCGUUGUCCGGAAUUACUGGGUGUAAGGGGAGCGCAGGCGGGAAGACAAGUUGGAAGUGAAAUCUAUGGGCCCAACCCAUAAACUGCUUUCAAAACUGUUUUUCUUGAGUAGUGCAGAGGUAGGCGGAAUUCCCGGUGUAGCGGUGGAAUGCGUAGAUAUCGGGAGGAACACCAGUGGCGAAGGCGGCCUACUGGGCACCAACUGACGCUGAGGCUCGAAAGUGUGGGUAGCAAACAGGAUUAGAUACCCUGGUAGUCCACACCGUAAACGAUGAUUACUAGGUGUUGGAGGAUUGACCCCUUCAGUGCCGCAGUUAACACAAUAAGUAAUCCACCUGGGGAGUACGACCGCAAGGUUGAAACUCAAAGGAAUUGACGGGGGCCCGCACAAGCAGUGGAGUAUGUGGUUUAAUUCGACGCAACGCGAAGAACCUUACCAAGUCUUGACAUCCCUUGACAGACAUAGAAAUAUGUUUUCUCUUCGGAGCAAGGAGACAGGUGGUGCAUGGUUGUCGUCAGCUCGUGUCGUGAGAUGUUGGGUUAAGUCCCGCAACGAGCGCAACCCUUAUGGUCAGUUACUACGCAAGAGGACUCUGGCCAGACUGCCGUUGACAAAACGGAGGAAGGUGGGGAUGACGUCAAAUCAUCAUGCCCUUUAUGACUUGGGCUACACACGUACUACAAUGGCGUUAAACAAAGAGAAGCAAGACCGCGAGGUGGAGCAAAACUCAGAAACAACGUCCCAGUUCGGACUGCAGGCUGCAACUCGCCUGCACGAAGUCGGAAUUGCUAGUAAUCGUGGAUCAGCAUGCCACGGUGAAUACGUUCCCGGGCCUUGCAC